Molecule: ribosomal RNA, 503 nt
Filed under: uncultured bacterium
Lineage: Bacteria
Description: partial 16S ribosomal RNA
Rfam family: Bacterial small subunit ribosomal RNA
Source: RNAcentral
AUUGAACGCUGGCGGCAGGCCUAACACAUGCAAGUCGGACGGUAGCACAGAGAGCUUGCUCUCGGGUGACGAGUGGCGGACGGGUGAGUAAUGUCUGGGGAUCUGCCCGAUAGAGGGGGAUAACCACUGGAAACGGUGGCUAAUACCGCAUAACGUCGCAAGACCAAAGAGGGGGACCUUCGGGCCGCUCACUAUCGGAUGAACCCAGAUGGGAUUAGCUAGUAGGCGGGGUAACGGCCCACCUAGGCGACGAUCCCUAGCUGGUCUGAGAGGAUGACCAGCCACACUGGACCUGAGACACGGUCCAGACUCCUACGGGAGGCAGCAGUGGGGAAUAUUGCACAAUGGGCGAAACCUGAUGCAGCCAUGCCGCGUGUAUGAAGAAGGCCUUCGGGUUGUAAAGUACUUUCAGCGGGGAGGAAGGCGAUGUGGUUAAUAACCGCGUCGAUUGACGUUACCCGCAGAAGAAGCACCGGCUAACUCCGUGCCAGCAGCCGCCGUAA